Molecule: unclassified non-coding RNA, 334 nt
Filed under: Hevea brasiliensis (rubber tree)
Lineage: Eukaryota; Viridiplantae; Streptophyta; Magnoliopsida; Malpighiales; Euphorbiaceae
Source: RNAcentral
AAUUGAUUGAAAUAUUUGACUAAAUAUUGAAUGUGAAUCCGCCAUUAUGUAUAUUCUUCAAAUUGUUUUCAAAUUUAUAGGAUAUCAUACAUUAUGCAUCAUAAAAGUUAUUGGGCUUGAAACUGAUUUUCUCUAUUUGGCUUGAACACGUACAAGAAGUUAAUGGGAAGGUUUAUGGUUUUCUUUUGACAAGAAAACAAUUGUAGACCUUUUUUAUAUAAUGCCUGUAAGUUCAUAGGAAAUAAUAUUACGUGAGAGAAAUGCAGGCAUAUGUUAGGGUUAAGGAAACCCUAAUAGGGAAGAAUAGGGUAUAGAGAAGAAUGUAGAUAGAGAG